GUUUACAUCAAGUGCACCGGAAA
Molecule: small nuclear RNA, 23 nt
Filed under: Arabidopsis thaliana (thale cress)
Lineage: Eukaryota; Viridiplantae; Streptophyta; Magnoliopsida; Brassicales; Brassicaceae
Description: snRNA_13387
Source: RNAcentral